RNAcentral lists this ribosomal RNA (492 nucleotides) under uncultured bacterium. Its description in RNAcentral is "partial 16S ribosomal RNA". It matches the Rfam family "Bacterial small subunit ribosomal RNA", at positions 29 to 507 of the family's 1533-position model. The record is from RNAcentral.
AGUGAACGCUGGCGGUAGGCCUAACACAUGCAAGUCGAACGGCAGCACAGUAAGAGCUUGCUCUUACGGGUGGCGAGUGGCGGACGGGUGAGGAAUACAUCGGAAUCUACUUUUUCGUGGGGGAUAACGUAGGGAAACUUACGCUAAUACCGCAUACGACCUACGGGUGAAAGCAGGGGAUCUUCGGACCUUGCGCGAUUGAAUGAGCCGAUGUCGGAUUAGCUAGUUGGCGGGGUAAAGGCCCACCAAGGCGACGAUCCGUAGCUGGUCUGAGAGGAUGAUGAGCGACACUGGAACUGGGACACGGUCCAGACUCCUACGGGAGGCAGCAGUGGGGAAUAUUGGACAAUGGGCGCAAGCCUGAUCCAGCCAUACCGCGUGGGUGAAGAAGGCCUUCGGGUUGUAAAGCCCUUUUGUUGGGAAAGAAAAGCAGCAGGUUAAUACCCCGCUGUUCUGACGGUACCCAAAGAAUAAGCACCGGCUAACUUCGUG